This 46-nucleotide non-coding RNA is filed under the name Schistosoma mansoni. The record is from RNAcentral. Lineage: Eukaryota; Metazoa; Platyhelminthes; Trematoda; Strigeidida; Schistosomatidae.
GUACUGUUGAGGAGUCUCACAACAGGACGAAACGGCCGUCCAGUGC